CAGGACGAACGCUGGCGGCGUGCCUAAUACAUGCAAGUCGAACGGUCUUUCUAUGGAAGCUUGCUUCCACUGAGAAGAUAGUGGCGAACGGGUGAGUAACACGUGGGUAACCUGCCCAUAAGAGGGGGGAUAACAUCCGGAAACGGGUGCUAAUACCGCAUAGUUUUCUUGAUCGCAUGAUCGGGAAAGGAAAGACGGCCUUUGUGCUGUCGCUUAUGGAUGGACCCGCGGCGUAUUAGUUAGUUGGUGAGGUAACGGCUCACCAAGACGAUGAUACGUAGCCGACCUGAGAGGGUGAUCGGCCACAUUGGGACUGAGACACGGCCCAAACUCCUACGGGAGGCAGCAGUAGGGAAUCUUCCGCAAUGGACGAAAGUCUGACGGAGCAACGCCGCGUGAGUGAAGAAAGGUUUUCGGAUCGUAAAACUCUGUUGUCAGAGAAGAACAAGUUGGAGAGUAACUGCUCCAGCCUUGACGGUAUCUGACCAGAAAGCCACGGCUAACUACGUGCCAGCCGCCGC
Molecule: ribosomal RNA, 521 nt
Filed under: uncultured bacterium
Lineage: Bacteria
Description: bacterial SSU rRNA
Rfam family: Bacterial small subunit ribosomal RNA
Source: RNAcentral